UACAGAGGUCUCAAGCGUUGUUCGGAUUCAUUGGGCGUAAAGGGUGCGUAGGUGGCGCGGGAAGUCGGGUGUGAAAUUUCGGAGCUUAACUCCGAAACUGCAUUCGAUACUGCCGUGCUUGAGGACUGGAGAGGAGACUGGAAUUUACGGUGUAGCAGUGAAAUGCGUAGAGAUCGUAAGGAAGACCAGUGGCGAAGGCGGGUCUCUGGACAGUUCCUGACACUGAGGCACGAAGGCCAGGGGAGCAAACGGG
Molecule: ribosomal RNA, 253 nt
Filed under: uncultured bacterium
Lineage: Bacteria
Description: partial 16S ribosomal RNA
Rfam family: Bacterial small subunit ribosomal RNA
Source: RNAcentral